Molecule: ribosomal RNA, 391 nt
Filed under: uncultured bacterium
Lineage: Bacteria
Description: bacterial SSU rRNA
Rfam family: Bacterial small subunit ribosomal RNA
Source: RNAcentral
CAAGGCUUGACAUAUACAGGAAUAUGGCAGAGAUGUCAUAGCCGCAAGGUCUGUAUACAGGUGGUGCAUGGUUGUCGUCAGCUCGUGUCGUGAGAUGUUGGGUUAAGUCCCGCAACGAGCGCAACCCUCGUUCUGUGUUGCCAGCAUUUAGUUGGGGACUCACAGGAGACUGCCGGGGUUAACUCGGAGGAAGGUGGGGAUGACGUCAAAUCAUCAUGCCCCUUAUGUCUUGGGCUGCACGCAUGCUACAAUGGCUGGUACAAACGGCUGCGAUACCGCAAGGUGGAGCGAAUCCGAUAAAGCCAGUCUCAGUUCGGAUUGGGGUCUGCAACUCGACCCCAUGAAGUCGGAGUUGCUAGUAAUCGUAGAUCAGCAACGCUACGGGAAUACG